This 146-nucleotide ribosomal RNA is filed under the name Melanoleuca communis. RNAcentral's name for it is "partial 25S ribosomal RNA". It matches the Rfam family "Eukaryotic large subunit ribosomal RNA", at positions 1 to 143 of the family's 3401-position model. The record is from RNAcentral. Lineage: Eukaryota; Fungi; Basidiomycota; Agaricomycetes; Agaricales; Pluteaceae.
UUGACCUCAAAUCAGGUAGGACUACCCGCUGAACUUAAGCAUAUCAAUAAGCGGAGGAAAAGAAACUAACAAGGAUUCCCCUAGUAACUGCGAGUGAAGCGGGAAAAGCUCAAAUUUAAAAUCUGGCAGUCUCUGGCUGUCCGAGU